UGAGCCAUGAGUACCGCGGUGUUUCGCCGCGGGGGUGUUCUGUCCCCAU
RNAcentral lists this unclassified non-coding RNA (49 nucleotides) under Myxococcus xanthus. Lineage: Bacteria; Pseudomonadati; Myxococcota; Myxococcia; Myxococcales; Myxococcaceae. The record is from RNAcentral.